RNAcentral lists this long non-coding RNA (1089 nucleotides) under Calidris pygmaea (Spoon-billed sandpiper). RNAcentral describes it as "lncRNA (ENSCPGG00000008023.1)". Lineage: Eukaryota; Metazoa; Chordata; Aves; Charadriiformes; Scolopacidae. The record is from RNAcentral.
AUGGAGGAUGAGGAUGAGGAUGAGGAUGAGGAUGAGAAUGAGGAGGUGGAAGUAGACGUGAAGGAGGAUGUGGAGCUGGAGAAGGACAUGGAAGAGGAGGAUGAAGAGGAGUUGGAGGAAGAUGAGAAGGAGCUGGAGGACGUGGAUGUGGAGGAGCUGAAGGACGCACAUGGCGCUGGCAAAGCACCCCAGCCCAAUGGUGACGAGGAGCCUGGCACGCCCCCGCUACCCAGCGCAGGGUGCAUGCUGGGCUCCUCGCCACCAGUGCCCAGACAGUCGGGCAGGACAGAGGUGUCCCUGCGGGCACUGGUGUCCCGGCUGCAGGCAGAGCUGGGGCAGCAGGAGGCAGUGUCGCGGGCGCUGGCAUCCCGGCUGGCGCGGGAGCAGCGGCGGCGCCGGCGUCGGGAGGAGGCCAGCGCCCGGCGAGCCCAGCUGUGGGCACAGGAGGCCGAGGCGCUGCGGGAGACCAACACCUUCCUGGGGCAGGCGCUGGCAGCAGCGGUGGCGGCGGGGGGUCCGGGGGCGCUGGCACAGGCACAGGAGGAGGCACGGGAAUGGCGGGAGGUGGCGGAGGAGCGGGGUGGCCGGCUGGCCGGGGCGCUGGCGGAGGUGGCAGCGCUGGCCUCGCGCCUGCAGGACUGCCAGACGGCACUGGCGGCGGCAGCAGGACAGACGGACACGCUGAAGGACACCAGUGCCUCUGACGAGGUGACCGCUGUGGAGGAGGUGCUGCGGCAGGCACUGGGGCUCGCCUGCGGCCCCCAGGAGACCCCACUGGGCCCCCAGGUGGACGGGGAGCCCAACACGGCCACCAGCAUGGCCAUGGUAUGGGCAAGCCUGAGGGAACCUCAUGGUGGGGUGAGGGUUCGGGGCACCAGGGCUGAGCUCCUGCUCUCCCGCAGCGCCUGGCCACCCUGGCCACUGCAGCGCAGGAGGAAGCCCAGCAGAGCCGACAGCAGCUCCAGGCCCAGAAGCAGGAGGUGGUUCGGCUGCAGGAGCAGCUCAGCAGGUUGGCUACCACCAUCCCCAGUCCCACCAAUGCAGGGUUUCCCUUGGGACUCACAUGGUGCCCUACUUGGAUCCAGGGGA